This 447-nucleotide ribosomal RNA is filed under the name uncultured bacterium. RNAcentral describes it as "SSU rRNA". It matches the Rfam family "Bacterial small subunit ribosomal RNA", at positions 26 to 518 of the family's 1533-position model. The record is from RNAcentral.
AGAGCGAACGCUGGCGGCAGGCCUAACACAUGCAAGUCGAGCGGCCGUAGCAAUACGGCAGCGGCAGACGGGAGAGUAACACGUGGGAACGCGCCCUUCGGUUCGGAAUAACUCAGGGAAACUUGGGCUAAUACCGGAUACGCCCUUACGGGGAAAGAUUUAUUGCCGAAGGAACGGCCCGCGUCCGAUUAGCUUGUUGGUGAGGUAACGGCUCACCAAGGCGACGAUCGGUAGCUGGUCUGAGAGGAUGACCAGCCUCACUGGGACUGAGACACGGCCCAGACUCCUACGGGAGGCAGCAGUGGGGAAUAUUGGACAAUGGGCGCAAGCCUGAUCCAGCCAUGCCGUGUGGGUGAUGAAGGCCCUAGGGUUGUAAAGCCCUUUCGGCGGGAAGAUAAUGACGGUACCCGCAGAAGAAGCCCCGGCUAACUUCGUGCCAGCAGCCGC